This 2376-nucleotide long non-coding RNA is filed under the name Zea mays. Its description in RNAcentral is "long non-coding RNA (ZMAY_LNC004122)". The record is from RNAcentral. Lineage: Eukaryota; Viridiplantae; Streptophyta; Magnoliopsida; Poales; Poaceae.
UGGGACGAAGUCUCACACAUAUGAUGAAUCAUGGCACAGGAUCGAAUGUCACAUCUUUACUACAUAACAGGAGUUCUAUACAAAAUAAAUAAAUAAUUACAUUAUAAGGAGACAACGGUCCAGCAACCCAAAGUUGACUGGGAGACGACGGCCUAGAUCUCUCACGAACUCAUCGCAGCAACCUCCAAGCGCCUCAUCCUGCGGUACCUGUUCUUGACCUGUGGGGGGGUGUGAGACAGCAAGAGUGAGCUCACAUACGUUCAUCGCUCAACAAGUUGUGGGGAAUAAUGUGCAUGAACUCGCCAAAGGUGGGAGCUCACGUGAAGUGUAAGGCUUACCAAAGAGGAUGGUUAGAGCUGAGCAUUGCUUUUAAAGUUAGUCAAAAUUUUAUUAGCAAUUACUAAGUAUAAGUAAAUACCAACCCAAUUAAGUAGCAGAACAAAAGUAACAACCUCACCUGCGAUGCAAUGCAUAUGACAAAUUGAGUUUAGGUUUCAUAAUUUAAUCAUCAGAGAGUCCUGAGCUGCUCAUGACCGUGAGCUCGGCUAGUAUACCAGUUUUACACUCUGCAGAGGUGGUACCCUUUACCCACAAGUCAUGUUACCCGUCUGCCAAGGGAUCGCGACUUCCCAUACACCUCUACCGAGGAGGCGAGGUAGGGUAACACUACGAGGCCUUUACAAAGUUCCACUAGCUUCAGAAAACCCGCUACAGUUUAUAGGAAGCUCCAAUGCAGGAAUCCCUUGCAGGACCGCCAUCGCAGCAAAAUCCUCCCGAGGGCCUCCCUACACUGACCACUCCCCUACUGCCCUUGCCCCUUUCGGGUAAGGUAGUCCUCCACUAGCUUUCCUAAUUAAUCAGCCAAGGGCGUCCAUAAACCCUUGUGGUGGCACGUGUUUCUCAAGUUAAGCUCUAUGUUCCAAUUAACAUUAAUGAUCUUGACAUGAACAUAAAUAGAAUAACAAAAUAACUGGAACAUAGAUAUGAUAAAUAAUUAUCCCAAAUCCAUGUAAAGCAAUAGCAAACUACCCAAGUGAUUCAGGGGUAAAUAAGGUAAUGAGAUAAACAAUCUAGGGUAACCUAUUGGGUCCCAUCAAAAUUAACCUAUGCAUGAAUAAAUGAUAUUAAAGAACAUUAUUGGGUAAAAAGUGGUCAAGGGCACAACUUGCCUGGGACUUGAGAUUCCAGGUACCAGGAUGAUCUUCAGAUGACUCGUGACCUCACGCUAUUCGUAGUAAUACAAACAAACAUUGUAUAGGCAAAAUUAACAUCACACCAAACAUAUAUGCAAAAUACAUAUUAAUAAUCUACAUAUUGAAAUAAGAUCACAGGAACAUGAAUUACUAAUUUUGGAGUUAUAGAUUUUAAGUUAUGGAUUUCCAAAAAUUCUAUGUGUUUUGUACAAGAUUAAUUAGGAUAUCAAUUUUAAUGUGGCUUUCAUGUCAAAACAGUGACCCAAAAUAAUAAACAAUAAUAUUACAAAUUAUAGGAACUGGAAUGGGCUAAUUUGGACUUAAUAUGAAUUUUCUAUGGAUUAUACAAGUUUUACAAUUAUUUCUAUACUCAAAAUCAAUUUCUAAAUCUCUUUUUCCUAUUUUCUUUUAUUCCUGGACUGGGCGCACUAAUACAGAGAAAGUCGGGGUUUAAAUCGAACAAUAACCCAAACACAGUCUACUCCCGCGAGGACGGCGGGUUAUUUAUAAUAAAGGGUAGGGUUUCUUUUGCAAAUUUGAAUGGCUGAAGGGGUAUGGGCGGAUGAGAGCCGUUGGAUUACCAUUGCGCGGCGCAGAUUAAAUCAUGUUCCUAUUGAACCGGUAUACACCGAGCACCGUUGAUACCCAGAUCCUCGGCCCAGAUUUAAAUAACUGAGAAUCAAUCGCGACCCUCGAUCCCGAUCGGACGGCCCAGAAGGGUUCAGGCCGAACCGGUACCCAAGAUUUAAUCCCUGCCCUACAACUCUGAUCUAACGACCAUCCACACGUCUUCAACCUCCUGACGCACACAACGGCCGCGGAGGGUGACAGCCGCUGGGCUACCUCAAGGAGGAGCAUGACCAUCGGCUCGCCCCACACGCGGGACAGGCGUCGAGGCAGCAGCGGACGCCUGGCCGUUGCCCAAGGCGAGAGCACACCCAGGUAAAAAAAUAUCGUUGCAUGGAUAUAACUACUCCUGACCUUUACGAAUCUCGACGGAGGGGGAGGUACCUGCGCGAUUCGGUGGCGGCCAGGCCCAGGCUUUCCCGAAAUAAUGGUGUCGAUGUUGCUACCCACGGUACAAGCAGUGUUUGCGGAGUAGACGAACUCCGACGAGAUCCUCCAUGGCACAGGUUCGGUCUCCAGAGCCGGCGCCCGGGACCCUGGUGACGGUGGGUCCGAU